This 467-nucleotide ribosomal RNA is filed under the name uncultured bacterium. RNAcentral's name for it is "partial 16S ribosomal RNA". It matches the Rfam family "Bacterial small subunit ribosomal RNA", at positions 28 to 507 of the family's 1533-position model. The record is from RNAcentral.
GACGAACGCUGGCGGCGUGCUUAACACAUGCAAGUCGAACGGAAAGGCUCCAGCUUGCUGGAGUACUCGAGUGGCGAACGGGUGAGUAACACGUGGGUAAUCUGCCCUGCACUCUGGGAUAAGCCUGGGAAACUGGGUCUAAUACUUGAUAUGACCUUUCUCUUUAUGGGGUUUGGUGGAAAGUUUUUCGGUGUAGGAUGAGCCCGCGGCCUAUCAGCUUGUUGGUGGGGUGAUGGCCUACCAAGGCGACGACGGGUAGCCGGCCUGAGAGGGUGAUCGGCCACAUUGGGACUGAGAUACGGCCCAGACUGCUACGGGAGGCAGCAGUGGGGAAUAGGGGACAAUGGGCGGAAGCCUGAUGCAGCGACGCAGGGUGAGGGAUGACGGCCUUAGGGUUGUAAACCUCUUUAAGCAGGGACGAAGCGUAAGUGAAGGUAACUGCAGAAGAAGCACCGGCUAACUAUGUG